GAGUUUGAUUAUGGCUCAGAUUGAACGCUGGCGGCAGGCUUAACACAUGCAAGUCGAACGAUGAUUGUCUAGCUUGCUAGACAUGAUUAGUGGCGAACGGGUGAGUAAUGCUUAGGAAUCUGCCUAUUAGUGGGGGACAACAUUCCGAAAGGAAUGCUAAUACCGCAUACGUCCUACGGGAGAAAGCAGGGGAUCGCAAGACCUUGCGCUAAUAGAUGAGCCUAAGUCGGAUUAGCUAGUUGGUGGGGUAAAGGCCUACCAAGGCGACGAUCUGUAGCUGGUCUGAGAGGAUGAUCAGCCACACUGGGACUGAGACACGGCCCAGACUCCUACGGGAGGCAGCAGUGGGGAAUAUUGGACAAUGGGCGAAAGCCUGAUCCAGCCAUGCCGCGUGUGUGAAGAAGGCCUUUUGGUUGUAAAGCACUUUAAGUGGGGAGGAAAAGCUAAUGAUUAAUACCCAUAGCCCUGACGUACCCCCA
This 479-nucleotide ribosomal RNA is filed under the name Moraxella sp. canine oral taxon 396. RNAcentral describes it as "bacterial SSU rRNA". It matches the Rfam family "Bacterial small subunit ribosomal RNA", at positions 9 to 483 of the family's 1533-position model. Lineage: Bacteria; Pseudomonadati; Pseudomonadota; Gammaproteobacteria; Moraxellales; Moraxellaceae. The record is from RNAcentral.